GGGGAAUAUUGCACAAUGGGGGAAACCCUGAUGCAGCGACGCCGCGUGGAGGAAGAAGGUCUUCGGAUUGUAAACUCCUGUUGUUGGGGAAGAUAAUGACGGUACCCAACAAGGAAGUGACGGCUAACUACGUGCCAGCAGCCGCGGUAAAACGUAGGUCACAAGCGUUGUCCGGAAUUACUGGGUGUAAAGGGAGCGCAGGCGGGAAGACAAGUUGGAAGUGAAAUCUAUGGGCUCAACCCAUAAACUGCUUUCAAAACUGUUUUUCUUGAGUAGUGCAGAGGUAGGCGGAAUUCCCGGUGUAGCGGUGGAAUGCGUAGAUAUCGGGAGGAACACCAGUGGCGAAGGCGGCCUACUGGGCACCAACUGACGCUGAGGCUCGAAAGUGUGGGUAGCAAACAGGAUUAGAUACCCUGGUAGUCCACACCGUAAACGAUGAUUACUGGGUGUUGGAGGAUUGACCCCUUCAGUGCCGCAGUUAACACAAUAAGUAAUCCACCUGGGGAGUACGACCGCAAGGUUGAAACUCAAAGGAAUUGACGGGGACCCGCACAAGCGGUGGAGCAUGUGGUUUAAUUCGACGCAACGCGAAGAACCUUACCAAGUCUUGACAUCCCUUGACAGGCAUAGAAAUAUGUUUUCUCUUCGGAGCAAGGAGACAGGUGGUGCAUGGUUGUCGUCAGCUCGUGUCGUGAGAUGUUGGGUUAAGUCCCGCAACGAGCGCAACCCUUAUGGCCAGUUACUACGUAAGAGGACUCUGGCCAGACUGCCGUUGACAAAACGGAGGAAGGUGGGGAUGACGUCAAAUCAUCAUGCCCUUUAUGACUUGGGCUACACACGUACUACAAUGGCGUUAAACAAAGAGAAGCAAGACCGCGAGGUGGAGCAAAACUCAGAAACAACGUCCCAGUUCGGACUGCAGGCUGCAACUCGCCUGCACGAAGUCGGAAUUGCUAGUAAUCGUGGAUCAGCAUGCCACGGUGAAUACGUUCCCG
RNAcentral lists this ribosomal RNA (995 nucleotides) under uncultured bacterium. RNAcentral's name for it is "bacterial SSU rRNA". It matches the Rfam family "Bacterial small subunit ribosomal RNA", at positions 356 to 1376 of the family's 1533-position model. The record is from RNAcentral.